AGAUGUGAGGGCGAUCUGGCUGAGACAUGUCACCUCAUUGAGCGCCAGAGUUGAUUCGGCUGAUCUGGCUGGCUAGGUGGGUAUACCCUUCCUCCCUCACCGCUCCAUGUGCGUCCCUCCCGAAGCUGCGCGCUGGGUGGAAGAGGACGACCUUCCCCGAUAGAGGAGAGGACCGUUCUUCAGUCAGGGGUAUACGAGUAGCUGCGCUCCCCUGCUAGAACCUCCACGCAAGCUCUCAAGGUCCAAAGCGCUUUUCUUAAAAUCAAGUGGACACUAGGUUAAUGGCAUUGUUCCUGAUUUGUGCAGGUUGUGGGUCCAU
Molecule: small nuclear RNA, 319 nt
Filed under: Pteropus alecto (black flying fox)
Lineage: Eukaryota; Metazoa; Chordata; Mammalia; Chiroptera; Pteropodidae
Description: 7SK RNA
Rfam family: 7SK RNA
About the family: 7SK was discovered as an abundant small nuclear RNA in the mid-70s but a possible function has only recently been suggested.
Source: Rfam by way of RNAcentral